RNAcentral lists this ribosomal RNA (440 nucleotides) under uncultured bacterium. RNAcentral's name for it is "partial 16S ribosomal RNA". It matches the Rfam family "Bacterial small subunit ribosomal RNA", at positions 338 to 795 of the family's 1533-position model. The record is from RNAcentral.
CCUACGGGAGGCAGCAGUGGGGGAUAUUGCACAAUGGGGGAAACCCUGAUGCAGCGACGCCGCGUGUGGGAAGACGGUCCUCUGGAUUGUAAACCACUGUCCCCAGGGACGAAGAUGACGGUACCUGGGGCGGAAGCUCCGGCUAACUACGUGCCAGCAGCCGCGGUAAUACGUAGGGAGCGAGCGUUGUCCGGAAUUACUGGGUGUAAAGGGAGCGUAGGCGGGACUGCAAGUUGGGUGUCAAAUCUACCGGCUCAACCGGUAGCCGCACUCAAAACUGCAGUUCUAGAGUGAAGUAGAGGCAGGCGGAAUUCCUAGUGUAGCGGUGAAAUGCGUAGAUAUUAGGAGGAACACCAGUGGCGAAGGCGGCCUGCUGGGCUUUUACUGACGCUGAGGCUCGAAAGUGUGGGGAGCAAACAGGAUUAGAUACCCUUGUAGUC